RNAcentral lists this ribosomal RNA (637 nucleotides) under Enterobacter hormaechei subsp. xiangfangensis. Its description in RNAcentral is "bacterial SSU rRNA". It matches the Rfam family "Bacterial small subunit ribosomal RNA", at positions 66 to 689 of the family's 1533-position model. Lineage: Bacteria; Pseudomonadati; Pseudomonadota; Gammaproteobacteria; Enterobacterales; Enterobacteriaceae. The record is from RNAcentral.
ACGGUAACAGGAAGCAGCUUGCUGCUUCGCUGACGAGUGGCGGACGGGUGAGUAAUGUCUGGGAAACUGCCUGAUGGAGGGGGAUAACUACUGGAAACGGUAGCUAAUACCGCAUAACGUCGCAAGACCAAAGAGGGGGACCUUCGGGCCUCUUGCCAUCGGAUGUGCCCAGAUGGGAUUAGCUAGUAGGUGGGGUAACGGCUCACCUAGGCGACGAUCCCUAGCUGGUCUGAGAGGAUGACCAGCCACACUGGAACUGAGACACGGUCCAGACUCCUACGGGAGGCAGCAGUGGGGAAUAUUGCACAAUGGGCGCAAGCCUGAUGCAGCCAUGCCGCGUGUAUGAAGAAGGCCUUCGGGUUGUAAAGUACUUUCAGCGGGGAGGAAGGCGAUAAGGUUAAUAACCUUGUCGAUUGACGUUACCCGCAGAAGAAGCACCGGCUAACUCCGUGCCAGCAGCCGCGGUAAUACGGGAGGGUGCAAGCGUUAAUCGGAAUUACUGGGCGUAAAGCGCACGCAGGCGGGUCUGUCACGCUCGGAUGUGAAAUCCCCGGGCUCAACCUGGGAACUGCAUUCGAAACUGGCAGGCUAGAGUCUUGUACAGGGGGGUAGACUUCCAGGUGUAGCGGUCAAAUGC